UGGGGAAUCUUGCACAAUGGGCGAAAGCCUGAUGCAGCGACGCCGCGUGGGGGAUGAAGGCCCUAGGGUCGUAAACCCCUUUCAGUAGGGACGAAAAUGACGGUACCUACAGAAGAAGCUCCGGCCAACUACGUGCCAGCAGCCGCGGUAAGACGUAGGGAGCAAGCGUUAUCCGGAUUUAUUGGGCGUAAAGGGCUCGUAGGUGGUUGUGUAAGUCAGAUGUGAAAACUUGGGGCUCAACUCCAAGACGCCAUCUGAUACUGCACUGACUUGAGUUCGGUAGAGGAGUGUGGAAUUUCUAGUGUAGCGGUGAAAUGCGCAGAUAUUAGAAGGAACACCUAUUGCGAAGGCAGCACUCUGGGCCGAUACUGACACUGAGGAGCGAAAGCAUGGGUAGCAAACA
Molecule: ribosomal RNA, 403 nt
Filed under: uncultured bacterium
Lineage: Bacteria
Description: bacterial SSU rRNA
Rfam family: Bacterial small subunit ribosomal RNA
Source: RNAcentral